RNAcentral lists this ribosomal RNA (1419 nucleotides) under uncultured Enterobacteriaceae bacterium. Its description in RNAcentral is "16S ribosomal RNA". It matches the Rfam family "Bacterial small subunit ribosomal RNA". The record is from RNAcentral. Lineage: Bacteria; Pseudomonadati; Pseudomonadota; Gammaproteobacteria; Enterobacterales; Enterobacteriaceae.
AUUGAACGCUGGCGGCAAGCUUAACACAUGCAAGUCGAGCGGCAGCGGGAAAUAAAGAAUGAGUUAUUUUUGCCGGCGAGCGGCGAACGGGUGAGUAAUAUUUGGGAAUCUGCCUAAUGGAGGGGGAUAACUGUUGGAAACGAUAGCUAAUACCACAUAACGUCCAUUUGAAUAUGUAGAAUGGACCAAAGCGGGGGACUUUAUAUAAAAGCCUCGCGCCAUUAGAUGAGCUCAAAUGAGAUUAGCUAGUAGGUAAGGUAAAGGCUUACCUAGGCUACGAUCUCUAGCUGGUCUGAGAGGAUGAUCAGCCACACUGAAACUGAGAUACGGUUCAGACUCUUACGGGAGGCAGCAGUGGGGAAUAUUGCACAAUGGGGGAAACCCUGAUGCAGCUAUGCCGCGUGUGCGAAGAAGGCUUUCGAGUUGUAAAGCACUUUCGAUGAAGAGGAAAGCGAUGUUUGUUAAUACCAGCAUUGUGUGACAGUAUUCAUAGAAGAAGCACCGGCUAACUCCGUGCCAGCAGCCGCGGUAAUACGGAGGGUGCGAGCGUUAAUCGGAAUUACUGGGCGUAAAGAGUACGUAGGCGGUUUAUUAAGUCGAAUGUGAAAUCCCUGAGCUUAACUUAGGAAUGGCGUUCGAAACUGAUAAACUAGAGUUUCAUAGAGGGGAGUAGAAUUCCAGGUGUAGCGGUGAAAUGCGUAGAGAUCUGGAGGAAUACCAGUGGUGAAGACGACUCCCUGGAUGAAAACUGACGCUCAGGUACGAAAGCGUGGGUAGCAAACAGGAUUAGAUACCCUGGUAGUCCACGCUGUAAACGAUGUCGAUUUGGAGGUUGUAAUCUUGAAUUGUGGCUUCCGUAGCUAACGUGUUAAAUCGACCGCCUGGGGAGUACGAUCGCAAGGUUAAAACUCAAAUGAAUUGACGGGGGCCCGCACAAGCGGUGGAGCAUGUGGUUUAAUUCGAUGCAACACGAAAAACCUUACCUACUUUUGACAUCCAGAGAACAUAAUAGAAAUAUUUUGGUGCCUUCGGGAACUCUGAGACAGGUGCUGCAUGGCUGUCGUCAGCUCGUGUUGUGAAAUGUUGGGUUAAGUCCCGCAACGAGCGCAACCCUUAUCCUUUGUUGCCAUCGAUUUGGUCGGGAACUCAAAGGAAACUGCCAGUGAUAAACUGGAGGAAGGUGGGGAUGAGGUCAAGUCAUCAUGGCCCUUACGAGUAGGGCUACACACGUGCUACAAUGGUAAAUACAAAGAGAAGCGAUCUUGUAAAAGUUAGCAAAUCUCAUAAAAUUUGUCGAAGUUCGGAUUUGAGUCUGCAACUCGACUCCAUGAAGUAGGAAUCGCUAGUAAUCGUGGAUCAGAAUGCCACGGUGAAUACGUUCUCGGGCCUUGUACACACCGCCCGUCACACCAUGGGAGU